GCUUAAUCAAUUAUCAAAGAAAAAUAAAAAUGAAGAGCUCUAUGCAGUUUAUCUCUACACUCUUCUUCCUAAUCGUACUUGUUGUCGGACCAGGAGAGAUGAAGAUGGUUGUAGGACAACCCCAACUGUGUGAAGCCGAAAGCAUCAACUUCAUCGGAUUUUGCUCAAAAUGGAGGACUAGGUCUAUUUUGAACAAUAGUAUUUGAGCUCCUCCUUCCGCCGCCCUUGAAGACAGCCUAGAUCCGCUUCGUUUAUUGCCUCUCCGGUCACCGGCGCUCCUCGCCGUGUCCGUGAGAGGGCUCCCAAGGUUCCCUUUAUGCAGCUGACUUUUUUCCGGUAGGCGAUCUGACGAGAUUAGGUUUCAGAGAUUGAUGGCGAUUUUAACGGUGGCUCCGAUUUGUGGAGAAUUGGCCUCGGCUUGUCUCGAAUCUUCUGUGAAUCUUGGCGAUUACUCCCUCCCGGUGCUUUCACCCCCUUCGGUUUGUUUGAGGACGACAAUCUGAGUUUGUGUGAGGCUCCUUAAGGUGUUUCUCGGCGGUUCUUCUUAAGCUCCAUUAGAGAUGGAGCUUCUGCUUGUCCAGUUUCAAGCAGCGGUAAGAUUCUUCAGAGGCAAGUGGUGGGUAGUUGCUUGGUAUUACAACGGUAGCUUCUCCGGCAUGCGGCGGCUCUCCUCUCGUGGUGGCGUAAGAGAUUAGCGCUCUCUUCCUCUCCGUGUUUGCCUUCUGUCUUCACUCCGUUCACCUUCUCUCCCGCCCCGUGAUUAAAUGUCGUUUGUUUCCCUGGCUCAUUGCAUACUCUGGUAUGCUCGGAGUCUCUGUCUUGUGUGUUGUUGUUUUAGGUGUGGAUUUUAGUGCUGAGGCGUCAGCCACCAGUGACUCUGAUCUUCCUUUUUGUUUAUACCGGGGGCGUUUGGUCAUCAAAUGGUAGUCUUGUGUUGUGUUUUGUUGUUAGAGUCGUCUUCUCUAACUAAUUGCAAGCUACCUAACAUCAACUCCCAAGCCAAAGGUGUUUAUCAGAAAAGGUGGACUGGUGUUCGUCCGAGACUUGUCUUGCUCUUGUAGGAUUUUGUGAGUUUCGUCUAGGAUGGAGAUGAGGGCUACGCUUGACAAUGGGUUUGGGUCUGCCCAACGUCGCUGCCCAUGCCAUUUCCGUGCAAAUCCAUGGCAUGUCGCACUUGUAUCCUUGAUGUUGCGUUUGAGUUUACUGCCCCUCGUGUCACUUUUGCCCAAGCCUUUAGCUCAGCCGCAGCAGAUUAGUGUUUUAGUGGGAAGCCUUGAUGACUUUACUUGAAGUGUCUGUUUUUGCCCUAAGCACUUGGUGGUGUUAGUAUGGCUCUUUGUGGUUAAGAUGUUGCCAGGCUCUGAGCUACCGACUCCUAGAGGGACUCGCUAGAGUGAGUGAGCAUUGCCUAACACAUUAAGCUUGGCAAUUCCGCAGCUCCUUGCUAAGCUCGGAUUACCGGUGAAAGGACUACCAUCUUGCUUUAUGGGUGACUCGUGAUCUUUAUUGUUCUGUUUUCUUGUUGAUUCUUUUUCUAGCUCACUAUAGGGAUUCUUCUUAUCUUGUUCCAAAUCGUCUUCUUUAACGAGAAUUGAUGAUUC
Molecule: non-coding RNA, 1601 nt
Organism: Camelina sativa (false flax)
Lineage: Eukaryota; Viridiplantae; Streptophyta; Magnoliopsida; Brassicales; Brassicaceae
Source: RefSeq, a predicted model, not a curated record